CUAUCCUAACGACAUCCAUCUCAAUUGCGAUUCCUCUUUGCCCCAAAACAAAGCAGCCAUGUCUCCAGGUCCCGUUGUUGAGGCUGAUGCCGCCAAGCCUGAAGUAGCCGAGCUGAUCUCUUCCACUGAGGAGGAGACCCAGCAAAAGCUUAAGCUCGACGAUGUGCCCGUUGUAGAGGACGUGAAGGAGGAGGAUGAUGAGGACGACGAAGACGACGAUGACGAUGAGGACGAUGAUAAGGAAGAUGGAACCCCAGGGGCAAAUGGGAGUUCUAAGCAGAGCAGAAGUGAAAAGAAGAGUCGCAAGGCAAUGUUGAAGCUGGGUAUGAAACCUGUUACUGGUGUUAGUAGGGUAACCAUCAAGAGAACAAAAAAUAUACUAUUUUUCAUAUCCAAACCAGAUGUUUUUAAGAGCCCAAACUCUGAGACAUAUGUCAUAUUUGGGGAGGCUAAGAUAGAGGAUUUGAGUUCUCAGCUGCAGACACAGGCUGCCCAACAGUUUAGGGUGCCAGACAUGGCAUCUGUACUUCCGAAAUCAGAUAUUUCUGGUGCAGCUGCUGCUGCACAAGCAGAUGAAGAAGAGGAAGAAGUUGAUGAGACUGGGGUUGAGCCUCGAGAUAUUGAUCUAGUUAUGACACAAGCAGGAGUAUCAAGGAGUAAGGCUGUCAAGGCUCUUAAGACACACAAUGGGGACAUUGUUAGUGCUAUAAUGGAGCUUACUACU
RNAcentral lists this unclassified non-coding RNA (724 nucleotides) under Hevea brasiliensis (rubber tree). The record is from RNAcentral. Lineage: Eukaryota; Viridiplantae; Streptophyta; Magnoliopsida; Malpighiales; Euphorbiaceae.